Molecule: long non-coding RNA, 1710 nt
Organism: Mus musculus (house mouse)
Lineage: Eukaryota; Metazoa; Chordata; Mammalia; Rodentia; Muridae
Product: predicted gene, 41388
Exons: 3
Source: RefSeq, a predicted model, not a curated record
CAGGCCCUUCAGAUCUGAGUUCCUGAAGUCCAGGGUGUUCUUCCUACUUGAACUGCUGUUUCUGUCUCUGCAGACUGUUGGCAAGGGGUUUCCACACACAUGAAGUGGUCAGGCUCUGCUCUAACCCACAAAUCCCAUGUGCCCAUUGGAGUGCAGUUCAAAGCCAUUUCUUUCUUCCUCUAAUCUCACUCCACACACGUCCUAUUCACAAACGGUAGUUUGAUUACAUCAACGUCAGCUCUAGAAUUUACAACUAAAACCGCUAGUUACUAACUGCCUACCAUAGACGCAGGCAGCGUGUGGGGAUGUCGUCGGCCAGAUGUGUGAACUCGGUAUUCAGUAGGACUAGUCCCUCAUUCUCAGCGCACAUGAAUCCAGCCCCACACCGCAAGGUUUGGAGGGUAUGGGAGUCCGUGCUUCACGCUGUGAUUAGCAGACUCCCAGUCUAAUAAAGACGCAGGCAGCCGCAUAAUGAGAAAUCUGGCACAGCUGACCAGAAUGAAGUGCAGUACUACAGGCUCCAGGAGCUGGGCAAGCUAUGUCAUUAGACAUUUUCUGAAAGAGAAGAUGCCUAAAGGAAAGAAUACAUUCGUCGGGGCGGGGGGUGGGGGUGGGGGCGGGAAUCAGUCUUGAUGAGAAGAGGGAGCUUCAGUCGGGGCAGAGAGAUGGAGGCACGUGAGCGGAGGAGCUGUGCCUAGCCGGCGACUCAUAGAUUGUGCAAUACCCAUGAGCACACGUCUGCGGAGUGAGAAGGCUGACAAUAAGAUAUGAAUUCCUUUCAUAAUCUGAUAGGAUCUGGCAGAUUGUAUGGACAGACCAAAAGAAGACUGUAUUCCUCACAGUUCAGGGAAGAAGAUAUAAUUGCUAAUAUUGCCAAUUGAUACUAAUACUAGUAUCAAUCGGAUGUAAUAAUUGAUAAUGAAAUAUAGUCAACUAAGUACUAAAUUAUUAAAAUUAAUCUACUUAUAUCAGUAUAUAAGCAUACGUGCAUAUACAUGCCUCUAUACAUAUUUAAUGCGAUUGUGCAUUGCUGUGACAUGAGUGUAGGUGCUAUAUCUAAAAUUUCGCAGAACCCUUGACUUGUUUCUGUAUUAUUCAUUGGAAGGAGCGUCAUUCAGAAGCUAUGCUCUAGAGGUGAAACUGUUUCAGAAAUAUCAAUAAUGUGAGGCUCAAUUAUUCAUCCACUAAUUAAUUAUUUAAAGAUGUUAUAUAUAAUAUACACAGUGCACAACCUUAAGCUUACAGCUUUGUCAGUUUUAGUAGUUAUGUGGCCCAGAAAACUACCAUUAGAGAAGAAUACAUUGUAUUUCCCAUCUCCUAAAAAGCUUCAGUUUGGCUUCCUUUCCUGUCUGCUUAUGCUAUUAUUGCUACCACAUUCUGAUUUUUUUUUUUAGCCAUAUAGAUUAAUUUAGUCUGUUCUCAGAUGCAGUGUAAAUGGAAUAGUCAUUUGUAUUAUUUUCUACCUGGCUUUUGAAUAUUUUCCAAUCCAUCCCUGAGUGGUAAGUAGUCACAGCUAUCCUAAUUCUCCCUUUAGUCAUUGAGCUGCACAGCGCACGCAGUUUGCUUAUCCUGUCUCCUAUUGAUCGGGAUGCUUCCAGCUUGUAGUUAUUCUGAACGUCGAGACUGUGUGCAUUCUUCACAGACCUGGGUACAUUUCUUAGUGUGGAAUAUUAAGCCAAGAUCCAGAUGUAGAACUCACAGCUCCUUCUC